UAGUUGAGUUGAGUUGAGUAUUAUAUUAUUAGUUAAUUGUUUUCAUAAUUUAGUGCUUCCUUCAAUGAAGCAAGCACUUUUUUGCACUUUGCACUUUAAGCGAUGGAGUGAUUGAUCGCUUUGAGUGCAGCUUACACUUUUAGCUACCUUGGGCUGCACACUACUGCAACUAGAAUUGAAGCAGGGAUGCACAUGGAUGACUAAAAAUUUUAAACUCUAAGCAAACUGAAAUCCGCAUUAUAAAUAAGGAAACGCAAAAAUACUACAUAUACCAGUUUUUUUAUCUGUAUUUGUAUGAGAAGGGGCGUAUAUUAUUACUUGCAAUAAAGAUGGAUAGUAUAUGAAUUAUAAAAUCUCCUGCACAGAGGAAAUACAUAGAAAGAAGAAAGCCAAAACCAAGCACAGAGAGGCUACAAUGCAGCAUUAUGUGGGUGUUAAUGUUGGGCUAAACAAAACUUCACCCAACACGACCUAGCUGGCUGAAAUCUAGUAAAUAUAUAGAAUAACAAGGAACAAGAUAAAGGCAAGAUAUUGCCAUCUGACAGCCAGUAAUGACCUUAUAUUUAUUUUGUUCUGUUUCCUUAGCAGAUAAAGAGAGCCCAACACAUAAAUAUUUAUAACAUUACUGGAAGAAGCUAAUUCAUCUCAAAUAGGGUGUUCAUCUCUGAUCAAGAUUCCCAAUUUCUGUCCUUCACAUAUAUGCAGUUUGCAGACAUAUGCAUUAAGCUGAAUAAU
This 735-nucleotide unclassified non-coding RNA is filed under the name Hevea brasiliensis (rubber tree). The record is from RNAcentral. Lineage: Eukaryota; Viridiplantae; Streptophyta; Magnoliopsida; Malpighiales; Euphorbiaceae.